CCGGUGGUCUUAAAAACGAUCCUCCAACUGGAAAUGUUGUCAUGGAGCCAGAGGAUACUAUGUAUGAAGGGAGCAUAUCCAGAGACCUGGUCGCAGAAGUUGCUGUGGAAGCUUUGCUUAACGAGGAAUCAUCUUUCAAGGUUGUGGAGAUAGUUGCUCGUGCUGAAGCUCCAAAACGUUCCUAUAAAGAUCUAUUUGCCUCUGUUAAAGGACGUUAACUAGAAUACAAAUCAAUCACACUAUGUAAUGAGUCUCAUGCUCAAAACCUUUAUUUCUCUUAUGUCUCGAGUACAACAAACAAAUACAAUUGCGCAUAAACUGAGUUCAAGACAAAUUGAGAGUGUUCCAUUCAGAUU
Non-coding RNA from Camelina sativa (false flax), 356 nucleotides. The record is from RefSeq and is a predicted model, not a curated record. Lineage: Eukaryota; Viridiplantae; Streptophyta; Magnoliopsida; Brassicales; Brassicaceae.